UACUUCAUUGCUGAAGGUUGUGUCCCUGA
RNAcentral lists this small RNA (29 nucleotides) under Bombyx mori (domestic silkworm). Its description in RNAcentral is "ovarian small RNA-21622". Lineage: Eukaryota; Metazoa; Arthropoda; Insecta; Lepidoptera; Bombycidae. The record is from RNAcentral.